UCUAGCUCCUCCCACCAGCCUCCACUGGCAGGUGUGUGUGUGUGUGUGCUAACGUUCUUACGUGUGUGUGUGUGGGGGCAGUUCAGUGUGCUUGCAGGUUAAUAUGCGCAUGUGCCUCUACUGUACAUGUGUCUAUUAAAGCAGAGUCAGUACUCAGAGAGAGACAGAGACAGACAGAGAGACAGAGAGAUAGACAGACAGACAGACAGACAGACAGACAGACAGACAGACAGACAGACAGACAGACAGACAGACAGACAGACAGACAGACAGACAGACAGACAGACAGACAGACAGACAGACAGACAGAGAGACAGAGAGACAGACAGACAGACAGACAGACAGACAGACAGACAGACAGACAGACAGACAGACAGACAGAGAGACAGACAGACAGACAGACAGACACCAUGUCUCCCUCCCAGUCCUCCCUACUGCUGCUGCUGAUGGUCUCCUGCUCCUGGGCCUCCCACUUCUUAGGAGGAACCAUGACCUUCAACCCCAGAGGGACCAACCCAGAUGGGACCUACAGGGUGGACCUUCGUUACAAGACAGCCUUCCACUAUUCCAUCUGUCUUUCUGAUACCUGGUGGUGUGUCAGUGGGGACUGUGGGAAUGAGACCAGUCUAGUGGUUAAGGGAGUGGACCAGGGGAUAUCUGAGGACUGGUGUCAGACAGAAGGAGUCAUGACUAGACACGUCUCCAUUAACACACAGACUUUUGAUCUGCGAUUGGAUAGCUGUUGCUGGAUAGACAAUGAUAAUGAUGUUUAUUUUUGGAGGCUGUUGACUCAUGUGGAUCUUGGGGUCAGGUCUGACACGGGGACAGUCAACCGAUCUCCACAGACCACUGUCAUACCUCUGAUGAGUGUCCCUGCUAAUUGUCAAAGAGAUUUCAACCUGUUGCUGUUUGAUCCAGAUGGGGAUAUGGUCAGAUGCAGAUACGCAGUACCAACGGAUGAGUGUUACACAUCAAGUGACCUUCCUAAUGACUUCACUCUACGAGAGAACUGCACCUUGUCAUUUUGGGGCAACAGUAAUACCACUGGAACAUAUGUAGUUCAGAUGGUGAUGGAGGAUUUCCCGACUCAGUCCAUCUCUCUCUCCUAUACUGACGGAUCUCAAUCUAACAGGACCUCAAACAAUACACUCUGCAAACUGCCUGUUCAGUUUGCAGUGAGAGUGGACCCCCCGGUGACAUCCUGUAUGGAGGGGCUGUACCUACCCAUGUUCCUGUCUCCAACACCAGCCCAGGGUGCACUGCUGUACGCCUCUGCAGACCAACCCCUGGAAAUCACUGUCAGAGCACAGGCUACCAACUCCACGGUUUCAGAGCUGUUGGUGAGUGGACCUUCCGGUAUCACAGAGAACACCACUGAUCCAGGAGAGUACCUUCUAAGAUGGACGCCCACUGAGGAUGAGGAGGGAGGGUACUAUCCUGUGUGCUUCAUCGCUCAGGGAGUGAACGACAGUUCCACGUACCACUCUGAGCUGCGCUGUGUGAUCGUCAGGGUUGGAAACACAAGCGGAGACGUUGUUGUACUGAGGACAAAAGUGUCCGCUCUGAUCCCACUGACAGAUAAUUACAUCAGAAACAUGGUGUUUCAGCAGCUCCGUGAGGAACUGAUCAGACUAGGGCUGCCAGGGGACUUCACGCUACGCCUGUUAGCCACUCAUGACAUCAGUCCCUGAGGGAGGAACAGGAAAUCAGCUCGACUUUCUUCACUUCUACUUGUCUUUUCUUCCUGGUUCUGAUUCUGCAGAUAGUUCUUUUGAAGAAGGAGUGAUUCCUUAUAAUGACAGAAUACGGUUGAUUUGUAAUAAUCUCCUGUGGGUUGCCAAGAUUAGUUGAAUUAACUGACACUACGUCUUACUGGAUGUUAGUUGAAUGAUUUAAAAGUAAAUGAUUUAUGUCUACAAGAAGAAAUGCAACAUAAAUAUGAUUGGUAAUGUACAGAGGUAGACUGAGGUUCUUUCCUGUUUGGUAAUGUACAAAGGUAGACUGAGGUUCUUUCCUGUAGACAGGUUAUUAAACAUUGGGAGAUAUAAUGUUGUUUUCCUUAAGGUGUGAAUCAUAUAGACUGUGUUUGAUUAGGCUUAGAGGACAAGGCCUUAGGAGGUUGAUAAUGAGACGUUAUAAUGGUAAAAUGUUAUAAUGUUGAAAUGUUUAAAAUAUUGAUGUAUUGAGAUAUAACUUGAGUAAUAAAUUAGGUUGUAGAAAGACUAUAAUUUAGUUAAAGGUAGGAGGGUGAAGGGAAUAGGAAAGUUUCAUGUUUGAAAAAUGUAUGUUUUAAGAAGUUGAUGUUCAUGAAGUAUAUUAAGGGUGCUAGCUUGAUCUGGAAAUCCCCAGGUCAGAGCAGCAAGUAGGUUGAAGCGUACGUUCUGCCUAGGUGGGAAAACGUGGAGGUUAGUGGGGGCUGAAAAAGCACCUUUUGAGAAGAUGGAUGCAUUCAUUAGGUGUUAACCACCGAAGGCAUCAGUGGAGCAGGUGGUCAUCCUGAUGAUUUAUCAGAAGAGGCAUUAAGGGUAUAAAGGAAGCAGGUUUCAUGGGAAGGGAAUGACUCUCUUUGAGUUUGCUAGAAGAACCUGUCGUCUGCUGGAGAAAGACUUUUACUGAAGCUUUUUAACUUCAGAUUCAUUUAGAUUUUUAAUAUACUUGGUUUUUUAUUCUGAAAGUGUUCUAGUACAUUCUAGGAGGAACCCUGAAUGUUACCUCAUUGAUAGGAGUGUUCUAGUACAUUCUAGGAGGAACCCUAAAGGUUACCUCAUUGAUAGGAGUGUUCUAGUACAUUUUAGGAGGAACCCUGAAGGUUACCUCAUUGAUAGAAGUGUUCUAGUACAUUUUAGGAGGAACCCUGAAGGUUACCUCACUGAUAGGAGUGUUCUAGUACAUUCUAGGAGGAACCCUGAAGGUUACCUCAUUGAUAGGAGUGUUCUAGUACAUUCUAGGAGGAACCCUAAAGGUUACCUCAUUGAUAGGAGUGUUCUAGUACAUUCUAGGAGGAACCCUGAAGGUUACCUCAUUGAUAGGAGUGUUCUAGUACAUUCUAGGAGGAGCCCUAAAGGUUACCUCACUGAUAGGAGUGUUCUAGUACAUUCUAGGAGGAACCCUGAAGGUUACCUCACUGAUAGGAGUGUUCUAGUACAUUCUAGGAGGAGCCCUAAAGGUUACCUCACUGAUAGGAGUGUUCUAGUACAUUCUAGGAGGAACCCUAAAGGUUACCUCACUGAUAGGAGUGUUCUAGUACAUUCUAGGAGGAACCCUAAAGGUUACCUCAUUGAUAGAAGUGUUCUAGUACAUUCUAGGAGGAACCCUAAAGGUUACCUCAUUGAUAGGAAUGUUCUAGUACAUUCUAGGAGGAACCCUAAAGGUUACCUCACUGAUAGGAGUGUUCUAGUAGCUGUUAGUUUUUUAGACACCAACUGAGGGACUGAGAAACCUGAAGGGGGAGACAAAAAUCUGUUUAUAAUUUGUAGAAGGUAAGAACUUGUUUUUCUUGUUAUUGAACACUGUGCUUCUCAUAAAAUUGUUAUAGACCAAACAUAUUUUAUUGACACACACUAAUAAGGGUUUAGAUAAGGGUUUAGUUAUGGGCGCUGAAGGCAUCUCUCAAUUUAAUCCAAGUUAUAUUUUUGCUUAUCAUCGAUUGGGGAUAUUGAUUUAUGAUUGAUUGAUUGAUCUGUGAUUUUUAAUGCCUGUUUCUGGAAUUUUGAAUAAACUUGUUUUAUUGUUCUGAAA
Molecule: long non-coding RNA, 3738 nt
Filed under: Salmo salar (Atlantic salmon)
Lineage: Eukaryota; Metazoa; Chordata; Actinopteri; Salmoniformes; Salmonidae
Description: lncRNA (ENSSSAG00000086918.1)
Source: RNAcentral